GCAUAUAAACACAAAUCAUAUCAAAUAUCGUACACAAUCAUAUAUCUAUUAGUUUAACUAUUUCAUCCUCCAAAUCUCAAUUUCAUUAAUAACUCAUUGGAAUAAUUUCCAUAUGGCUACUCACAAUUUAACUCCCUUAGGCCCAUUUCUCAUUUACUUCAUUGUCAAAUUAGGGAACAAUAAGGGAAUUGAGUGCUUCAUUAUUACAUUGCCAUAGUAAACUAUGGACUUUCACAUUGUUACGCAUCACACACCGAAGCCAUAGCCUUGCCAUGGUCUUACACGGUUCACAUAUCAUACCGAAGCCAUAUCCUAGACAUGGUCUUAUACGGAAUCACAUUAUCACAUUAUACCGAUGCCAUAGCCCAGCUAUGGUCUUAUACGGAGUCACAUUAUCACAUUGCACCGAUGCCAUAGCCCAGCUAUGGUCUUAAACGGGCACACUUAUCACAUAUUUUUCGUCAAUUCAUCAGGGUCACAGAAUAGAAGCACUCAAAUCCAUUGUUCCUACUAAUUUGUACUUUUAGUUACACAUUAUUCAUUAGUUAAUGCAAAUUGAUAG
This 562-nucleotide long non-coding RNA is filed under the name Gossypium barbadense (sea-island cotton). RNAcentral's name for it is "long non-coding RNA (GBAR_LNC012146)". The record is from RNAcentral. Lineage: Eukaryota; Viridiplantae; Streptophyta; Magnoliopsida; Malvales; Malvaceae.